AUAAGAGCAUGUGGUGGAUGCCUUGGCGAUGAUAGGCGACGAAGGACGUGAUAGCCUGCGAUAAGCUUCGGGGAGCUGGCAAAUAAGCUUUGAUCCGGAGAUUUCCGAAUGGGGAAACCCACCGAAAGGUAUCGUGCACUGAAUACAUAGGUGCACGAGGCGAACCGGGUGAACUGAAACAUCUCAGUAGCUCGAGGAAAAGACAUCAACCGAGAUUCCGAAAGUAGUGGCGAGCGAAAUCGGAAGAGCCUGCUAGUGAUAGCACAGAACUUAGCAAAGCGGUCUGGAAAGGCCGGCCAUAGUGGGUGAUAGCCCCGUAUGCGAAAAGAUCUGUGUGGUACUGAGCUAGCGAAAAGUAGGGCGGGACACGUGUAAUCCUGUCUGAAUAUGGGGGGACCAUCCUCCAAGGCUAAAUACUCAUCAUCGACCGAUAGUGAACUAGUACCGUGAGGGAAAGGCGAAAAGAACCCCGGGAGGGGAGUGAAAUAGAUCCUGAAACCGCAUGCUUACAAAAAGUAGGAGCCCGCAAGGGUGACUGCGUACCUUUUGUAUAAUGGGUCAGCGACUUACAUUCAGUGGCAAGGUUAACCGAAUAGGGAAGCCGUAGAGAAAUCGAGUCCGAAUAGGGCGUUCAGUCGCUGGGUGUAGACCCGAAACCAAGUGAUCUAUCCAUGGCCAGGAUGAAGGUGCCGUAACAGGUACUGGAGGUCCGAACCGACUAGUGUUGCAAAACUAGCGGAUGAGCUGUGGAUAGGGGUGAAAGGCUAAACAAACUUGGAAAUAGCUGGUUCUCUCCGAAAACUAUUUAGGUAGUGCCUCAAGUAUUACCUUCGGGGGUAGAGCACUGUUUUGGCUAGGGGGUCAUGGCGACUUACCAAACCAAGGCAAACUCCGAAUACCGAAGAGUACAGCUUGGGAGACAGAGCACCGGGUGCUAACGUCCGGACUCAAGAGGGAAACAACCCAGACCGCCAGCUAAGGUCCCUAAAAUUGGCUAAGUGGGAAACGAAGUGGGAAGGCUAAAACAGUCAGGAUGUUGGCUUAGAAGCAGCCAUCAUUUAAAGAAAGCGUAAUAGCUCACUGAUCGAGUCGUCCUGCGCGGAAGAUGUAACGGGGCUAAGCCAGUUACCGAAGCUGCGGAUGUGCAAUUUAUUGCACGUGGUAGGAGAGCGUUCUGUAAGCCUGUGAAGGUGGCUUGUAAAGGCUGCUGGAGGUAUCAGAAGUGCGAAUGCUGACAUGAGUAGCGUUAAAGCGGGUGAAAAGCCCGCUCGCCGUAAGCGCAAGGUUUUCUACGCAACGUUCAUCGGCGUAGAGUGAGUCGGCCCCUAAGGCGAGGCAGAGAUGCGUAGCUGAUGGGAAACAGGUCAAUAUUCCUGUACCGAUAUGCAGUGCGAUGUGGGGACGGAUCUUAAUAGCUCAUCCAGGUGUUGGAUUACCUGGUUUAGCUGGAUGUAGGCGUGCAGUAGGCAAAUCCGCUGCACAUAUACCGAGGCCAGCGAUCGAGCGAGCUUGCUCGCGAAGUGAGUGAACGAGGUUCCAGGAAAAGCCACUAAGCUUCAGCUGCAUACGACCGUACCGCAAACCGACACUGGUGCGCGAGAUGAGUAUUCUAAGGCGCUUGAGAGAACUCAGGAGAAGGAACUCGGCAAAUUGACACCGUAACUUCGGGAGAAGGUGUGCCCUAGUAAUGUGAAGUGAACAACGGAGCAUGAACGGGUUGCAAAAAAUCGGUGGCUGCGACUGUUUAUUAAAAACACAGCACUCUGCAAACACGAAAGUGGACGUAUAGGGUGUGACGCCUGCCCGGUGCUGGAAGAUUAAAUGAUGGGGUGCAAGCUCUUGAUUGAAGUCCCAGUAAACGGCGGCCGUAA
This 1871-nucleotide ribosomal RNA is filed under the name soil metagenome. Its description in RNAcentral is "bacterial LSU rRNA". It matches the Rfam family "Bacterial large subunit ribosomal RNA", at positions 12 to 1939 of the family's 2925-position model. The record is from RNAcentral.